RNAcentral lists this ribosomal RNA (273 nucleotides) under uncultured bacterium. RNAcentral describes it as "partial 16S ribosomal RNA". It matches the Rfam family "Bacterial small subunit ribosomal RNA", at positions 524 to 796 of the family's 1533-position model. The record is from RNAcentral.
UACGGAGGGUGCAAGCGUUAAUCGGAAUUACUGGGCGUAAAGCGCACGCAGGCGGUCUGUCAAGUCGGAUGUGAAAUCCCCGGGCUCAACCUGGGAACUGCAUUCGAAACUGGCAGGCUUGAGUCUCGUAGAGGGGGGUAGAAUUCCAGGUGUAGCGGUGAAAUGCGUAGAGAUCUGGAGGAAUACCGGUGGCGAAGGCGGCCCCCUGGACGAAGACUGACGCUCAGGUGCGAAAGCGUGGGGAGCAAACAGGAUUAGAUACCCCCGUAGUCC